Molecule: ribosomal RNA, 253 nt
Filed under: uncultured bacterium
Lineage: Bacteria
Description: partial 16S ribosomal RNA
Rfam family: Bacterial small subunit ribosomal RNA
Source: RNAcentral
UACAGAGGGUGCAAGCGUUGUUCGGAAUUAUUGGGCGUAAAGGGCGCGUAGGCGGUCUUGUCAGUCCCUUGUGAAAUCCCCCGGCUCAACUGGGGAACUGCAAGGGAAACAGCAGGGCUUGAGUUCGGGAGAGGGAAGCGGAAUUCCGGGUGUAGCGGUGAAAUGCGUAGAUAUCCGGAGGAACACCGGUGGCGAAGGCGGCUUCCUGGACCGAUACUGACGCUGAGGCGCGAAAGCUAGGGGAGCAAACGGG